Small nucleolar RNA from Callithrix jacchus (white-tufted-ear marmoset), 41 nucleotides. The record is from Ensembl. NCBI's taxonomy places the organism in Eukaryota, Metazoa, Chordata, Mammalia, Primates, Cebidae.
GGGCUCCCGGGAGCCGGGGGAGACGCUGCCUCGGAAGCUGA